UGCACCCAUGACUGUAAGUCACUUUGGAUAAAAGCAUCUGCUAUAUGGCAUAUA
Salmo salar (Atlantic salmon) is the source of this 54-nucleotide non-coding RNA. Lineage: Eukaryota; Metazoa; Chordata; Actinopteri; Salmoniformes; Salmonidae. The record is from Rfam.